GACGAACGCUGGCGGCGUGCUUAACACAUGCAAGUCGAACGGAAAGGCCCUGCUUUUGUGGGGUGCUCGAGUGGCGAACGGGUGAGUAGCACGUGAGUAACCUGCCCUUGACUUUGGGAUAACUUCAGGAAACUGGGGCUAAUACCGGAUAGGAGCUCCUGCUGCAUGGUGGGGGUUGGAAAGUUUCGGCGGUUGGGGAUGGACUCGCGGCUUAUCAGCUUGUUGGUGGGGUAGUGGCUUACCAAGGCUUUGACGGGUAGCCGGCCUGAGAGGGUGACCGGCCACAUUGGGACUGAGAUACGGCCCAGACUCCUACGGGAGGCAGCAGUGGGGAAUAUUGCACAAUGGGCGGAAGCCUGAUGCAGCAACGCCGCGUGCGGGAUGACGGCCUUCGGGUUGUAAACCGCUUUCGCCUGUGACGAAGCGUGAGUGACGGUAAUGGGUAAAGAAGCGCCGGCUAACUACGUG
RNAcentral lists this ribosomal RNA (468 nucleotides) under uncultured bacterium. Its description in RNAcentral is "partial 16S ribosomal RNA". It matches the Rfam family "Bacterial small subunit ribosomal RNA", at positions 28 to 507 of the family's 1533-position model. The record is from RNAcentral.